GUGAGUUAGAUAUCGUAUCCUUCCGCUUAAUGGUAAUGAUAUGUAAUCUAGCUUACAG
This is a non-coding RNA of Caenorhabditis brenneri, 58 nucleotides long. NCBI's taxonomy places the organism in Eukaryota, Metazoa, Nematoda, Chromadorea, Rhabditida, Rhabditidae. The record is from Rfam.